RNAcentral lists this transfer RNA (74 nucleotides) under Chloroflexota bacterium. Its description in RNAcentral is "Chloroflexi bacterium tRNA-Gly". It matches the Rfam family "tRNA". Rfam says of the family: Transfer RNA (tRNA) molecules are approximately 80 nucleotides in length. The record is from RNAcentral. Lineage: Bacteria; Bacillati; Chloroflexota. RNAcentral also lists the same sequence under 1 other name.
GCGGGAGUGGCGUAGUGGUAACGUAGGAGCCUUCCAAGUUCAUGUCGAGAGUUCGAUUCUCUCCUCCCGUACCA